UAGGACGGAGUACUGCGAGUGUUUAAUUUCGAAACUAUGGAACUAAUUGGUUCAGCCAGAUCAUAUUUUGGAGGAUUGUUGUGUUGUGCUUGGUCUCCUGAUGGAAGGUAUAUAGUGGUGGGAGGAGAGGAUGAUCUAAUAGCUGUUUAUGGAAUACAGG
Molecule: long non-coding RNA, 160 nt
Organism: Eurytemora carolleeae
Lineage: Eukaryota; Metazoa; Arthropoda; Copepoda; Calanoida; Temoridae
Exons: 3
Source: RefSeq, a predicted model, not a curated record